This 203-nucleotide long non-coding RNA is filed under the name Vigna radiata. RNAcentral describes it as "long non-coding RNA (VRAD_LNC007711)". Lineage: Eukaryota; Viridiplantae; Streptophyta; Magnoliopsida; Fabales; Fabaceae. The record is from RNAcentral.
CGAUCAAGUCAAAUUCGAAGUUGUUGUCAUCUGGUAUAGCGUUGAACAACCCUAUGUGGCGCUCAACCUACCAAAACAAUGAGUCAUUGGGCUCUAGAGCAUUGAGCACUGAAACUCCAUAGAGCUUUGGGCAUUGGGCAAUAAGAUAGGCUCGCUAAGUAAGAGAUCUCACAUGAUCUGUAGUGCUGAGCGUCAUAAGCUGG